ACAUCCAGAGAACUUGGCAGAGAUGCCUUGGUGCCUUCGGGACCUCUGAGACAGGUGCUGCAUGGCUGUCGUCAGCUCGUGUUGUGAAAUGUUGGGUUAAGUCCCGNAACGAGCGCAACCCCUAUCCUUUGUUGCCAGCGAUUCGGUCGGGAACUCAAAGGAGACUGCCGGUGAUAAACCGGAGGAAGGUGGGGAUGACGUCAAGUCAUCAUGGCCCUUACGAGUAGGGCUACACACGUGCUACAAUGGCGCAUACAAAGAGAAGCGACCUCGCGAGAGCAAGCGGACCUCAUAAAGUGCGUCGUAGUCCGGAUCGGAGUCUGCAACUCGACUCCGUGAAGUCGGAAUCGCUAGUAAUCGUAGAUCAGAAUGCUACGGUGAAUACGUUCCCGGGCCUUGUACACACCGCCCGUCACACCAUGGGAGUGGGUUGCAAAAGAAGUAGAUAGCUUAACCUUCGGGAGGGCGUUUACCACUUUGUGAUUCAUGACUGGGGUGAAGUCGUAACAAGGUAAGCGUAGCGAG
This 525-nucleotide ribosomal RNA is filed under the name uncultured bacterium. RNAcentral's name for it is "bacterial SSU rRNA". It matches the Rfam family "Bacterial small subunit ribosomal RNA", at positions 984 to 1509 of the family's 1533-position model. The record is from RNAcentral.